AUGAACGCUAGCGACAGGCUUAACACAUGCAAGUCGAGGGGUAACAGGGUAGCAAUACCGCUGACGACCGGCGCACGGGUGAGUAACGCGUAUGCAACCUGCCUAUAACUGGGGAAUAGCUCCCUGAAAGGGGAAUUAACACCGCAUAACACUAUUGAUUCGCAUGGAUUGGUAGUUAAAUGUAGCGAUACAGGUUAUAGAUGGGCAUGCGUGACAUUAGCUAGUUGGUGAGGUAACGGCUCACCAAGGCUACGAUGUCUAGGGGUUCUGAGAGGAAGGUCCCCCACACUGGUACUGAGACACGGACCAGACUCCUACGGGAGGCAGCAGUGAGGAAUAUUGGUCAAUGGGCGCAAGCCUGAACCAGCCAUGUCGCGUGCAGGAAGACUGCCCUAUGGGUUGUAAACUGCUUUUAUAGUAGAAGAAACACAUUUACGUGUAGAUGUCUGCCAGUAUACUAUGAAUAAGCAUCGGCUAACUCCGUG
RNAcentral lists this ribosomal RNA (485 nucleotides) under uncultured bacterium. Its description in RNAcentral is "bacterial SSU rRNA". It matches the Rfam family "Bacterial small subunit ribosomal RNA", at positions 29 to 507 of the family's 1533-position model. The record is from RNAcentral.